UCCUCGCCGGCCACCAGCAAACAUUUCUGUAAUCUUAGUACAUUUGGCAGCAUCUGCCUGAAGCGCUUGUCUCUUUUUCUCCCGAAUUUUUUCUGCCCCUCCUUUCCGUUUUUUGGCGUUCUCCAUCUUGUGAACCUCUCUUCGUGACCGUGUAUGAUUGAUUGACUGCAGCGGCCCAAACGGGUGGGCGGCCCUCGGCUGUGAUUGGUCCAGCCCAGAAUCAAUCAUGGCUAAUGGGCUGAUGAUCGAUCUAUUAGUUUUGUGCACCAAUACUAAUAACAUUAGUAAGAUGUGUAGGAACUCUUCCCCACUUCCAAAAAAAAUGAAAUAAAAUAAAAUAAAAUAAAAAAAAAUAAAUAAUAAUCCGCCGGCCAGGCCCAUAAUCACCAUCGGCCCACCGGGAAAGUGCCCGGUAUGCCCUAUGGCCAGUCCAGCCCUGGCUCUUAUCAAGAAGGCAGACAG
Molecule: long non-coding RNA, 462 nt
Organism: Melanotaenia boesemani (Boeseman's rainbowfish)
Lineage: Eukaryota; Metazoa; Chordata; Actinopteri; Atheriniformes; Melanotaeniidae
Exons: 3
Source: RefSeq, a predicted model, not a curated record